UACAGAGGGUGCAAGCGUUAAUCGGAAUUACUGGGCGUAAAGCGUAUGCAGGCGGAUCGUUAAGUCGGGGGUGAAAUCCCGAGGCUCAACCUCGGAACUGCCUUCGAUACUGGCGAUCUUGAGUCCGGGAGAGGUGAGUGGAACUCCGAGUGUAGAGGUGAAAUUCGUAGAUAUUCGGAAGAACACCAGUGGCGAAGGCGGCUCACUGGCCCGGUACUGACGCUGAGAUACGAAAGCGUGGGGAGCAAACAGG
Molecule: ribosomal RNA, 253 nt
Filed under: uncultured bacterium
Lineage: Bacteria
Description: partial 16S ribosomal RNA
Rfam family: Bacterial small subunit ribosomal RNA
Source: RNAcentral